GCGGAAUUCUCCACGAGUUUUGAGCAGCCUCGGUUUUCCCACCACCUCCAAAUCAUGCAAGACACAGGGUAAGAGCAAAGACAAGGUGGGUGUGGCCGAUGUCCACCCUCUCGGGGCGUCCCUUCUUUUCUCUCCUCCUUGGGCAGGGAGACCAUCAGGGUGCAACCUGCCUGGGGCGGGGAGGAGGUGCAGGGCCUGGCCAGAGCGGGCCUGGCCACGGGCAAGGGACAGCGACCUCCUGGGCCAGGACAGGUGAGCGCGGCGCAGGCCCGGGACCCGCGUGGCGGCGGUGCGCGUGAGCGGCCAGCAGAGGGCGCCAGAGAGCCAGGAGCUGCCCGGGGAGGAGCCCGCGCCGGCCCCAAUGUCCAGCUCCGCGCCGCGCAGACCCACCAAGCCCGCGCUCAGACGGCCCAGCUCAGCCGAGAGGCUGCUCGCGCCGGGUCCUUCCUCUUCCCCAAGUGCAGGCAGAGCCCCUGGAGCCAUGGCCAGCCCUUCCGGCAGCUCCGAAGCCACUGGCAAGUCCCGAGGCAGAGAUGGCCCGCCCAGGAGGGAGGGGGACGACGUCCCUCCCUAGGAGAAGAGGCUGCGGCUGUUGCUGGAGGGGGAAGCGCACAGCCCGAGGACUGCGAGGACGGGGAGGACGCGCCGCGGCCGGGCAGGGAGGAGACCGGCACCCAGACAGGUGGCGACGGCAGAGGA
RNAcentral lists this long non-coding RNA (699 nucleotides) under Pan troglodytes (chimpanzee). Its description in RNAcentral is "lincRNA". The record is from RNAcentral. Lineage: Eukaryota; Metazoa; Chordata; Mammalia; Primates; Hominidae.